Molecule: ribosomal RNA, 468 nt
Filed under: uncultured bacterium
Lineage: Bacteria
Description: partial 16S ribosomal RNA
Rfam family: Bacterial small subunit ribosomal RNA
Source: RNAcentral
GACGAACGCUGGCGGCGUGCUUAACACAUGCAAGUCGAACGGAAAGGCCCUGCUUUUGUGGGGUGCUCGAGUGGCGAACGGGUGAGUAACACGUGAGUAACCUGCCCUUGACUUUGGGAUAACUUCAGGAAACUGGGGCUAAUACCGGAUAGGAGCUCCUGCUGCAUGGUGGGGGUUGGAAAGUUUCGGCGGUUGGGGAUGGACUCGCGGCUUAUCAGCUUGUUGGUGGGGUAGUGGCUUACCAAGGCUUUGACGGGUAGCCGGCCUGAGAGGGUGACCGGCCAGCAUGGGACUGAGAGACGGACCAGACGGCUACGGGAGGCAGCAGUGGGGGAGAUUGCACAAUGGGCGGGAGCCUGAUGCAGCAACGCCGCGUGGGGGAGGAAGGCCGGAGGGGAGUAGACCGCUUUCGCCGGUGACGAAGCGUGAGUGACGGUAAGGGGUAAAGAAGCACCGGCUAACUACGUG